GUCCUAGCCGUAAACGUUGGGUGCUAGGUGUGGGGGACAUCGACCCCUCCGUGCCGAAGCUAACGCAUUAAGCACCCCGCCUGGGGAGUACGGCCGCAAGGCUAAAACUCAAAGGAAUUGACGGGCCCCGCACAAGCGGCGGAGCAUGUUGCUUAAUUCGAUGCGACGCGAAGAACCUUACCUGGGCUUGACAUGCAGGGUGAAACCCGUGAAAGCGGGCGCUCUUCGGAGCCUGCACAGGUGGUGCAUGGCUGUCGU
RNAcentral lists this ribosomal RNA (258 nucleotides) under uncultured bacterium. RNAcentral's name for it is "partial 16S ribosomal RNA". It matches the Rfam family "Bacterial small subunit ribosomal RNA", at positions 793 to 1055 of the family's 1533-position model. The record is from RNAcentral.